Mycena leptocephala is the source of this 102-nucleotide non-coding RNA. NCBI's taxonomy places the organism in Eukaryota, Fungi, Basidiomycota, Agaricomycetes, Agaricales, Mycenaceae. The record is from the annotation of a GenBank genome assembly.
GGCCUGAUGGUGUAGUGGUUACACAUCCUCUUUAAUUGCAGGAUGAUGCCAUAUAUGAAAUUACUUAUGAGGAAGUUUCCGGUUCGAAUCCGGGUUAGGCCA